ACCAUGCACCGAAGCUGCGGCAGCGACACUGUGUGUUGUUGGGUAGGGGAGCGUUCUGUAAGCCUGUGAAGGUGUGUCGUGAGGCAUGCUGGAGGUAUCAGAAGUGCGAAUGCUGACAUAAGUAACGAUAAAGCGGGUGAAAAGCCCGCUCGCCGGAAGACCAAGGGUUCCUGUCCAACGUUAAUCGGGGCAGGGUGAGUCGACCCCUAAGGCGAGGCCGAAAGGCGUAGUCGAUGGGAAACGGGUUAAUAUUCCCGUACUUGGUGUUACUGCGAAGGGGGGACGGAGAAGGCUAUGUUGGCCGGGCGACGGUUGUCCCGGUUUAAGCGUGUAGGUGUGUGUUCCAGGUAAAUCCGGUUCACUUUAACACUGAGGCGUGACGACGAGGCACUACGGUGCUGAAGCAACAAAUGCCCUGCUUCCAGGAAAAGCCUCUAAGCAUCAGGUAACAUCAAAUCGUACCCCAAACCGACACAGGUGGUCAGGUAGAGAAUACCAAGGCGCUUGAGAGAACUCGGGUGAAGGAACUAGGCAAAAUGGUGCCGUAACUUCGGGAGAAGGCACGCUGACACGUAGGUGAAGUGAUUUACUCAUGGAGCUGAAGUCAGUCGAAGAUACCAGCUGGCUGCAACUGUUUAUUAAAAACACAGCACUGUGCAAACACGAAAGUGGACGUAUACGGUGUGACGCCUGCCCGGUGCCGGAAGGUUAAUUGAUGGGGUCAGCGCAAGCGAAGCUCCUGAUCGAAGCCCCGGUAAACGGCGGCCGUAACUAUAACGGUCCUAAGGUAGCGAAAUUCCUUGUCGGGUAAGUUCCGACCUGCACGAAUGGCGUAAUGAUGGCCAGGCUGUCUCCACCCGAGACUCAGUGAAAUUGAACUCGCUGUGAAGAUGCAGUGUACCCGCGGCAAGACGGAAAGACCCCGUGAACCUUUACUAUAGCUUGACACUGAACAUUGAGCCUUGAUGUGUAGGAUAGGUGGGAGGCUUUGAAGUGUGGA
Molecule: ribosomal RNA, 1000 nt
Filed under: Salmonella enterica
Lineage: Bacteria; Pseudomonadati; Pseudomonadota; Gammaproteobacteria; Enterobacterales; Enterobacteriaceae
Description: partial 23S ribosomal RNA
Rfam family: Bacterial large subunit ribosomal RNA
Source: RNAcentral